CGUGAGGGUUCGGCCCUCGGCAGACGGCUCAGUAACACGUAGAUAAUUUGCCCUUAGGUGGAGGAUACCCUCGGGAAACUGAGAAUAAUACUCCAUAGAUCUAGACUGCUGGAAUGCUUUUAGAUUGAAAGAUUUAUCGCCUAAGGAUAAGUCUGCGGACUAUCAGGUCGUAGUUAGGGUAACUACCUGACUAGCCUACGACGGAUACGGGUUGUGAGAGCACUAGCCCGGAGAUGAUAUCUGAGACACGAUAUCAGGCCCUACGGGGCGCAGCAGGCGCGAAAACUUCGCACUGUGCGAAAGCACGACGAGGGAAUCCCAAGUGCUGGCUCGUAAGAGUCAGCUGUUUCUUUGUCUAAAAAACAGAGAGAGUAAGGGCUGGGUAAGACGGGUGCCAGCCGCCGCGGUAAUACCUGCAGCCCGAGUGGUGGCCGCUAUUAUUGGGCCUAAAACGUCCGUAGCCGGUUCUAUAAAUGCCUGGGUAAAUCGUACGGCUUAACCGUACGAAUUCCGGGUAGACUGUUCAACUUGGGACCGGGAGAGGCUAGAGGUACUCCUGGGGUAGAGGUGAAAUUCUGUAAUCCUAGGGGGACCACCAGUGGCGAAGGCGUCUAGCUAGAACGGGUCUGACGGUGAGGGACGAAGCCCUGGGGAGCAAACGGGAUUAGAUACCCCGGUAGUCCAGGGUGUAAACGCUGCUCGCUUGAUGUUAGUCGGGCUCCGAGCCCAACUAGUGUCGGAGAGAAGUUGUUAAGCGAGCUGCCUGGGAAGUACGGUCGCAAGACUGAAACUUAA
This 795-nucleotide ribosomal RNA is filed under the name uncultured euryarchaeote. RNAcentral's name for it is "bacterial SSU rRNA". It matches the Rfam family "Archaeal small subunit ribosomal RNA", at positions 59 to 859 of the family's 1478-position model. The record is from RNAcentral. Lineage: Archaea; Methanobacteriati; Methanobacteriota.